This 253-nucleotide ribosomal RNA is filed under the name uncultured bacterium. RNAcentral describes it as "partial 16S ribosomal RNA". It matches the Rfam family "Bacterial small subunit ribosomal RNA", at positions 524 to 776 of the family's 1533-position model. The record is from RNAcentral.
UACGGAGGUGGCAAGCGUUGCUCGGAAUCACUGGGCGUAAAGGGCGCGUAGGCGGGGCGGUAAGUCGGGUGUGAAAUCCCUCGGCCCAACCGAGGAACUGCGCCCGAGACUGCUUCUCUUGAGUCCCGGAGAGGAAGAUGGAAUUCCCGGUGUAGCGGUGAAAUGUGUAGAGAUCGGGAGGAACACCGGUGGCGAAGGCGGUCUUCUGGACGGUGACUGACGCUGAGGCGCGAAAGCGUGGGGAGCAAACGGG